ACUGAGCUCGGUAACGCGUGGGCAUGUCACCAAGUGGAGUAUUAAGGUAUUUGAAUAAUUUGGUAUUGAGCUCAAGGUUGACAUUAUGAGCUAGCUUUGAUUUGCCUGUUUCCAAGUUGGACAGUGGAUGCUAUGUUUCAGCCUAACGCUUGAAUCAUAUCCUCCCUAAACUUGAGGGUAAUGCGUGAGGCUGGUUUCACAGAGCAGCGAUUACCUCACACUCUCAACGGUGGAAGGAUUACAAGUCAUUUGCUUAUAUUGCCAAUUAACCUUGGAAUCCACCAAAUUCAACAAAUAUUUUU
Molecule: signal recognition particle RNA, 302 nt
Filed under: Zostera marina
Lineage: Eukaryota; Viridiplantae; Streptophyta; Magnoliopsida; Alismatales; Zosteraceae
Description: Plant signal recognition particle RNA
Rfam family: Plant signal recognition particle RNA
Source: Rfam by way of RNAcentral